UGGGGAAUAUUGCACAAUGGGCGCAAGCCUGAUGCAGCCAUGCCGCGUGUGUGAAGAAGGCCUUCGGGUUGUAAAGCACUUUCAGCGGGGAGGAAGGCGAUAAGGUUAAUAACCUCAUCGAUUGACGUGACCCGCAGAAGAAGCACCGGCUAACUCCGUGCCAGCAGCCGCGGUAAUACGGAGGGUGCAAGCGUUAAUCGGAAUUACUGGGCGUAAAGCGCACGCAGGCGGUCUGUCAAGUCGGAUGUGAAAUCCCCGGGCUCAACCUGGGAACUGCAUUCGAAACUGGCAGGCUAGAGUCUUGUAGAGGGGGGUAGAAUUCCAGGUGUAGCGGUGUAAUGCGUAGAGAUCUGGAGGAAUACCGGUGGCGAAGGCGGCCCCCUGGACAAAGACUGACGCUCAGGUGCGAAAGCGUGGGGAGCAAACAGG
RNAcentral lists this ribosomal RNA (429 nucleotides) under Chloroflexota bacterium. Its description in RNAcentral is "Chloroflexi bacterium partial 16S ribosomal RNA". It matches the Rfam family "Bacterial small subunit ribosomal RNA", at positions 355 to 776 of the family's 1533-position model. Lineage: Bacteria; Bacillati; Chloroflexota. The record is from RNAcentral.